This 847-nucleotide small RNA is filed under the name Pan troglodytes (chimpanzee). RNAcentral describes it as "retained intron". Lineage: Eukaryota; Metazoa; Chordata; Mammalia; Primates; Hominidae. The record is from RNAcentral.
GAGUCUCCUUCCCAGGCUACGAAUACUCGGACCAGAAGUCGGGAAACUCAAAGGGGAAGGAUGUGAACUUGGCGGAGUUCGCUGUGGCUGCAGGGGACCAGAUGCUUUACGGGAGUGAGGACAUCCAACUAGAUUACAAAAACAACAUCCUGAAGGAGAGGGCGGAGCUGGCCCACAGCCCCCUGCCUGCCAAGUACAUCGACCUAGACAAAGGUGAGCGGCGGGGGGCGACCUCAGCCCAUCUCAGAGCCCUGCCUGUCCCCAUUCCACCUCACCCGGGACCAACGAUGGCAGGCACCAGCCAGGCCCGGGGCCCCUGCCACCUCAGGCUCAGAAAUCCCUGGGGAGUCCUGCGGGGGGGUCUGCCCUGUGUCUCCCACUGUGAUGAGGGUGGAGAACAGCCGCCAACCCGUUGGCGCCCUUGGCUUCCAGGGUUCCGGAAGGAGAACUGCAAAUAGGGAGGCCCUGGGCUCCUGGCUGGGCCAGCAGCUGCACCUCUCCUGUCUGUGCUCCUCGGGGCGUCUCCUGAUGCUCCCAGGCUCACCCCCCUUCCAGCGGCUGGUCCCGCUUUCCUGGAAUUUGGCCUGGGCGUAUGCAGAGGCCGCCUCCACACCCCUCUCCCAGGGGCUUGGUGGCAGCAUAGCCCUCACCCCUGCGGCCUUUGCUCACGGGUGGCCCUGCCCACCCCUGGCACAACCAAAAUCCCACUGAUGCCCAUCAUGCCCUCAGACCCUUCUGGGCUCUGCCUGCUGGGGGCUUGAAGACAUUCCUGGAGGACACUCCCAUCAGAACCUGGCAGCCCCAAAACUGGGGUCAGCCUCAGGGCAGGAGUCCCACUCCUCCAGGG